RNAcentral lists this ribosomal RNA (470 nucleotides) under uncultured bacterium. Its description in RNAcentral is "bacterial SSU rRNA". It matches the Rfam family "Bacterial small subunit ribosomal RNA", at positions 28 to 491 of the family's 1533-position model. The record is from RNAcentral.
GAUGAACGCUAGCGACAGGCUUAACACAUGCAAGUCGAGGGGUAACAGGGUAGCAAUACCGCUGACGACCGGCGCACGGGUGAGUAACGCGUAUGCAACCUGCCUAUAACUGUGGAAUAGCUCCCUGAAAGGGGAAUUAACACCGCAUAACACUAUUGAUUCGCAUGGAUUGGUAGUUAAAUGUAGCGAUACAGGUUAUAGAUGGGCAUGCGUGACAUUAGCUAGUUGGUGAGGUAACGGCUCACCAAGGCUACGAUGUCUAGGGGUUCUGAGAGGAAGGUCCCCCACACUGGUACUGAGACACGGACCAGACUCCUACGGGAGGCAGCAGUGAGGAAUAUUGGUCAAUGGGCGCAAGCCUGAACCAGCCAUGUCGCGUGCAGGAAGACUGCCCUAUGGGUUGUAAACUGCUUUUAUAGUAGAAGAAACACAUCUACGCGUAGAUGUCUGCCAGUAUACUAUGAAUAAGC